RNAcentral lists this long non-coding RNA (478 nucleotides) under Struthio camelus australis. Its description in RNAcentral is "lncRNA (ENSSCUG00000013291.1)". The record is from RNAcentral. Lineage: Eukaryota; Metazoa; Chordata; Aves; Struthioniformes; Struthionidae.
UUCUCACUGGUGUGCAAGGGAAUGUUUACAUAAGAUAAAUGAACUUUAAAGCUCAUGCCUUUUGCACCUAUCAUGUAUUUAAACUGAACAGGCUAAACUUGUUUUUGUUCACUCCUUAAAAAGACCUUAAAAUUUGCAGUUGCAUUCAGUGACCUGAUCCCGUUACCUUAGAGUCCUAAGCUUAUUCACGGACCUGAGAUGGAAUAAAAGUUUGAGUCAACUUUUUUUUAUUCCUCCUUGUAUUCUUUGAGCAACAAAAUGAGCGUGAGAGACUGCAAGUAACUAGUAGUUCUAAGACUGUGUUUCAAAAGCAACACAAAGAAAAUACCUUUGCAAAAGAAUGUAUAUGUUAAUCCAUUGGCACAAGGGAAGGCACUCAGCCUUACUACUCCAGAGUUGCACUGACUGGAUACAUAUGACGUCAGGAUUGCCUUCAGUCACAAAUCUUGAAGUGCAGCUUUGCUGGGUGGGUCUCUGA